GAUGAACGCUAGCUACAGGCUUAACACAUGCAAGUCGAGGGCCCGGCGCACGGGUGAGUAACACGUAUCCAACCUGCCCUUUACUCAGGGAUAGCCUUUCGGAAGCAAGAUUAAUACCCUAUAUAAAGGAUGGGGAUGCGUUCCAUUAGGUUGUUGGUGAGGUAACGGCCCACCAAGCCUUCGAUGGAUAGGGGUUCUGAGAGGAAGGGCCACCACAUUGGAACUGAGACACGGUCCAAAUGCGUACGGUAGGCAGCAGUGAGGAAUAGUGGUUAAUGGGCGGUAGCCUGAACCAGCCAAGUAGCGUGAAGGAUGAAGGCUGAUGGGGCGUAAACUUCUUUUAGAGAAGAAUAGGUAUUAUAUGAAUAAGGAUCGGCCAACUCCGUGCCAGCAGCCGCGGUAAUUC
RNAcentral lists this ribosomal RNA (406 nucleotides) under uncultured bacterium. RNAcentral's name for it is "partial 16S ribosomal RNA". It matches the Rfam family "Bacterial small subunit ribosomal RNA", at positions 28 to 526 of the family's 1533-position model. The record is from RNAcentral.